GGCUCAGGAUGAACGCUAGCGGCAGGCCUAAUACAUGCAAGUCGAACGGCAGCACGAGUAGCAAUACUUGGUGGCGAGUGGCGCACGGGUGCGUAACGCGUAUGCAAUCUACCCUUGACUGGGGAAUAGCCCCGAGAAAUCGGGAUUAAUACUCCAUAACAUCAUCGAGAGGCAUCUCUUGGUGAUCAAAGUUCAGACGGUCAAGGAUGAGCAUGCGUGACAUUAGCUAGUUGGUGAGGUAACGGCUCACCAAGGCGACGAUGUCUAGGGGUUCUGAGAGGAUUAUCCCCCACACUGGUACUGAGACACGGACCAGACUCCUACGGGAGGCAGCAGUAAGGAAUAUUGGGCAAUUGACGCAAGUCUGACCCAGCCAUGCCGCGUGCAGGAUGACAGCCCUACGGGUUGUAAACUGCUUUUGUACGGGAAAAACCCCUCGGACGUGUCCGGGGCUGAUGGUACCGUAAGAAUAAGGAUCGGCUAACUCCGUGCCAGCAGCCGCGGUAAUACGGAGGAUCCAAGCGUUAUCCGGAUUCAUUGGGUUUAAAGGGUCCGCAGGCGGAUCAAUAAGUCAGGGGUGAAAUCCUACGGCUCAACCGUAGAACUGCCCUUGAUACUGUUGGUCUAGAGUACAGUUGAGGUGGGCGGAAUGUGUCAUGUAGCGGUGAAAUGCAUAGAUAUGACACAGAACACCGAUCGCGAAGGCAGCUCACCAAGCUGUAACUGACGCUAAGGGACGAAAGCGUGGGGAUCAAACAGGAUUAGAUACCCUGGUAGUCCACGCCGUAAACGAUGGUCACUCGAUGUUGGCGAUACACAGUCAGCGUCUGAGCGAAAGCAUUAAGUGACCCACCUGGGGAGUACGAUCGCAAGAUUGAAACUC
Molecule: ribosomal RNA, 883 nt
Filed under: uncultured bacterium
Lineage: Bacteria
Description: bacterial SSU rRNA
Rfam family: Bacterial small subunit ribosomal RNA
Source: RNAcentral